GACGAACGCUGGCGGCGUGCCUAAUACAUGCAAGUCGAGCGCUGACGGUUUGUGCUUUUGCCAACUGGGUGAGCAGCGGACGGGUGAGUAACGCGUGGGGCAUCUUCCUUUUAGCGGGGGACAACAUCUGGAAACGAAUGCUAAUACCGCCUCAAACCUUUAAACACAGGUUUUAAGUUUGAUAGAUACCUUUGCAUCACUCAAAGAUGGAUCCGCGUUGUGUUAGCUAGUUGGGUGGGUAAACGCCCACCCAGGCGAAGAUACAUUGCCUACCCGGGUGGGUGGACCGCCAACACGGGAAUGAGAAAAGGCUCAAAAUCCUACCGGGGGGAGCAGUAGGGAAACAUUGGCAAUGGACGGAAGUCUGACCGAGCAACGCCGGGGUGGUGAAGAAGGGUUUCGGAUCGGAAAACUCUGUUUGUAGAGAAGAAAGAUGGUGAGGGUGGAAAGCUCAUGAAGUGACGGUAACUAAACAGAAAGGGACGGCUAACUACGUG
RNAcentral lists this ribosomal RNA (497 nucleotides) under uncultured bacterium. RNAcentral describes it as "partial 16S ribosomal RNA". It matches the Rfam family "Bacterial small subunit ribosomal RNA", at positions 28 to 507 of the family's 1533-position model. The record is from RNAcentral.